Molecule: ribosomal RNA, 451 nt
Filed under: uncultured bacterium
Lineage: Bacteria
Description: bacterial SSU rRNA
Rfam family: Bacterial small subunit ribosomal RNA
Source: RNAcentral
GAUGAACGCUAGCUACAGGCUUAACACAUGCAAGUCGAGGGGCAGCAUGGUCUUAGCUUGCUAAGGCCGAUGGCGACCGGCGCACGGGUGAGUAACACGUAUCCAACCUGCCGUCUACUCUUGGACAGCCUUCUGAAAGGAAGAUUAAUACAAGAUGGCAUCAUGAGUUCACAUGUUCACAUGAUUAAAGGUAUUCCGGUAGACGAUGGGGAUGCGUUCCAUUAGAUAGUAGGUGGGGUAACGGCCCACCUAGUCUUCGAUGGAUAGGGGUUCUGAGAGGAAGGUCCCCCACAUUGGAACUGAGACACGGUCCAAACUCCUACGGGAGGCAGCAGUGAGGAAUAUUGGUCAAUGGGCGCAGGCCUGAACCAGCCAAGUAGCGUGAAGGAUGACUGCCCUAUGGGUUGUAAACUUCUUUUAUAAAGGAAUAAAGUCGGGUAUGUAUACCCGU